UUUAUGGUUCAGCUCAACACGUGAGCCCCAACGGAUCCACGACGCUACAACGGAACUCAAAGAAGACAACCGUUCCUCUCAAAGUCAGAGAUCUCUCGUCGUUGGCGAACGGUCAGUGUCUUUGCCUUGGCUUUUUCUCAUCUCAGGCCGUAUCUGAAGGGACGAUCUCCUUCAUUACUCUCUCACACGGCAGGAUUUCUUAUAAGAUCAUCAUCGAUUUUUUCAUGCUUCAUUUCGUAAUGAUCUAUCUGUGCUAAGUGUCUCUUAUAGGUCAGAAAAUUUUCUAUCCUUCGCAGUUGCCGAUUAUCUCAUUGGCGAUUUUCUGGAAAGGUAUUUUCCAGAGUUUCUUUGGCUUUGGUCGUAGAAUGGAUACGGGUUCUGUUUCGUGGCUUUAUAGAAACCUCAUUUGAUCGUUUUUACAAGAAGUGAUCGCAUAGCGGAGUGGAUAUCGCGUUAGACUCCGGAUCUAAAGGUCGUGGGUUCGAAUCCCACUGCGAUCGCAUCACAUUUUUUUGCCUCCUAUUUCGUUAUGUAUUUUCUUCCGAAAGUUUGUGAUAUAUCAAAUUUGGAGUUUCAGUUUUUUCCUAGCUUGUCUGAUUUUCAGGAGACCUGCUUUCCUCCCCCCCCCCCCCAAAUCGUUGCCUGUAUGGUUUAUUUUCUGGCAUUAAAACCGUGAAAAAUCAGAAAUACGUUUUUGGAUACAAUUUGGUAACUGGACCUCCAAUUUAUUGCAAUAUGAUGAUCCUUUGACAAUGAAUGUACUCCUUUGCACUCUGAAAGGUCACCUGAUGCAACUUAUCUGUUUUUGUUCCUUCUAGGUAUUAGAUAUAUUAGUAUUGGGAUCCAUAAUUUAAAAUAAUUUGAAUAAGAAUUUGUAUGGUAUAUCCGUUUACAGCGUGUAAUUAAAAGAUGUGCUUCCUUAUUGUUCCCGUAUUGAAAAUUUGAAGCUGUAAGUUUUCACUUAUCAAGCUGGCAUUGGAAGGGAUUUUAUAUUGAACUCGUUCAGUACCAGCAGAUGGGACAAGAAUAUUGAGUAAUUUUUUCAUAGCUCUCAAGUUGUCACUAUUACAUAUUUUGUACAUUGCAGGGCAAUACUUAUCGUUGAGCAUUUAAUUUAUUUCUAACUUAUGUGCAAUAGUUUGUACGUUGAAACUAAAUGCGCUGUCUACUGUUUCAGAAUGUCAAAUUGAUGAUUGGCGAUUUAUUUAUUCCCUGUAUAUACGGAUAACACUUCUACAGAUGUUUAUAUUGUACUUUAUUAUCAUUUCCUAUUGCCUUAUCAAUUUGAUGUGUGCUAUGCCAUGCCGCACUAUGGACCAUCUUACAAACGUUUGACGAGAUUUAAUGUUUGGCCUUGCGUUAUUGUUCUUGCCGGUCCAUAUAGGCUUGAGAUUAGGAGAUUGGAUAGAAGUUUGGUGGAGAAUUAGCUGAAGCCAUGGAAGGAUGUGGUCUGACAUUAUAGACUGCGGAUAUUCCAGCUUGACUUUUCAAAGAAAACUACUCGAAAAUUGUGCAUUUUUUAAUUUAUUUUUUAAAAAAUCAUGAAAAAUUCAAGACUGCAACAUUUUUUUACCCAUAAGAUAUCAAAGUGUCAUUAAUGAUUAAGAGAAAAUUGGGAGGUUGGGGCA
Molecule: long non-coding RNA, 1628 nt
Organism: Neltuma alba
Lineage: Eukaryota; Viridiplantae; Streptophyta; Magnoliopsida; Fabales; Fabaceae
Exons: 2
Source: RefSeq, a predicted model, not a curated record